ACCUCAUCCAAAAAAGCUAGCCAGAAAAUAUUAUUUAAGUUUUUUGGUCAUGUAUAAAGCGGUGUGGGACUAAAUAUACGCUUGCACAUAUCCUCAUACUCUCUCUCUCUCUCUCCUCCCCGUGUAUGUGUGUGGGUGUGGGGUGGUUGUUGAGAUAUUGGUUUAAAGCUUUUAUAACAUGCAAGAGUAAGUUGACUAAGGAAUUUUAUAUGCUAAUUUCAUUUUGUAAUUGAAACAUCGGAAAUAAAGUGGUUCAUUUAUUGUAAUAUAAUUGGAACCUCGAGAUUCAAACUGGCUUCACUUUGCGGCUAUUCACAAUUAAUUCAGAUUGAGUGGCUAAUCAAAGCGACAUUUUAGCGAUAUUGAUUGAUCGAUCAAACUUUCUCCACCAUGGAAGGUUGCCACGCUAGAGUUACCUUGUUAUUUUCUAGCCAAAUAUUUUCUCCUUUGGAAUUUGCGACGCCUUUGUCGUAUGGUUAUGGAUGAGGAUUUGCGUGAAACAUAAACUUGUAUAUUUGCUUGUGAAUCGAAUUCUUCCACCUUGCGGACCUACACAUAUCACCAUCUAAUUGCAGCUAGAAGAACUCUUUAGUUUUAUCCAGUUUCCGGGAACUUGAAGAACAUGAUUUCUUUUUUUGGAAGUU
This 644-nucleotide long non-coding RNA is filed under the name Phoenix dactylifera (date palm). RNAcentral describes it as "long non-coding RNA (PDAC_LNC016493)". Lineage: Eukaryota; Viridiplantae; Streptophyta; Magnoliopsida; Arecales; Arecaceae. The record is from RNAcentral.